GGAACCUCAAAUCCAUCGACUAGACCCUCCCCACUCACAUAAGGAUACUAUUCUUGUGUUCGUAAUUCAUGAUAACCCAAGAAUUUAUGAUAAUAGAGCUUUCUCUAUAGUUAGUAAUGGUAAGUUCUCCAUUGGAGCAAUAUACCAAAAAUUGCUUCGUAACUAUCUUAAUGCCCCUACAUACACUCGCAAUUUUGAAUGGAUUUGGAAGCUAAAAUGUCCUACCAAAUUAAAAUUCUUCAUAUGGCUUUGUUCUCAUGGAAUACUUCCUACUAGUUGGUGUAUAAACCAUAUCGGCCUUGAAAUUGACCCACUUUGUAAACACUGCCAGCAUACCGAAACUAUUAAGCAUAUUUUCCUCAAGUGUUCUAGUGCAAUACAGUUCUGGAACAGUAUCAAUAUGAACACCCCGAUAGCCAACCUUAGACAGCUAACUUCGGAAGAUUGGCUUGAUCGAUUCAGGACUAUGAAAGACAUUAGGCUUGGAAAAUACCUGGAAUAGCAUAAAGCCUUCCCGUUUUACCUUUGGAAUAUUUGGUUAGCUCAGAACAACAACCUCUUUAAUAACAAAAAAAUGCCUAUUCCUAUCGAAAUUCCUUAUAACAGUGCUAUGGAAUUCAUGCUUCUAAGCGGCACUAUAAAAAAACAAUGUCAUGAAAACAUUCCUUGUUGGACACCACCUACUGUUGGUUUAAAAUUAAAUAUAGAUGGUGCUUUUGAUAGUGUAACUAGAAAGGUGGCGUGGGGGGAGUAUUUAGAGAUAAUUGGUUGUAGGUUUCAGUGCUAGAGUAAGUGAUCAAAAUCCCCUCAAAGCUGAAUUUAUGGCUCUGUACUUGGGGCUCAAAAUGGCUGUACUCAUGCAUUAUGAUUCAUUGAUAAUUGCAACAGACUCUUAAAACCUGGUAUCUGCAUGCAAAAAUAAUUUGGAACCUAACAACAAUAUCAUUCUUCUAUGCAGGGAUCUUCUUCGGGAGUUAGGGAAUACGCAGAUGCACCAUGAUAAUAGGCUUCUUAACAGGGUUGCGCACAAGCUAGCGAAGAAUGGUAGAAUAAAUAAAACUCCA
Molecule: long non-coding RNA, 1064 nt
Filed under: Capsicum annuum
Lineage: Eukaryota; Viridiplantae; Streptophyta; Magnoliopsida; Solanales; Solanaceae
Description: long non-coding RNA (CANN_LNC002929)
Source: RNAcentral